RNAcentral lists this ribosomal RNA (1145 nucleotides) under uncultured Bacillus sp. Its description in RNAcentral is "partial 16S ribosomal RNA". It matches the Rfam family "Bacterial small subunit ribosomal RNA", at positions 111 to 1192 of the family's 1533-position model. Lineage: Bacteria; Bacillati; Bacillota; Bacilli; Caryophanales; Bacillaceae. The record is from RNAcentral.
UAACACGUGGGUAACCUGCCUGUAAGACUGGGAUAACUCCGGGAAACCGGGGCUAAUACCGGAUGCUUGAUUGAACCGCAUGGUUCAAUCAUAAAAGGUGGCUUUUAGCUACCACUUACAGAUGGACCCGCGGCGCAUUAGCUAGUUGGUGAGGUAACGGCUCACCAAGGCGACGAUGCGUAGCCGACCUGAGAGGGUGAUCGGCCACACUGGGACUGAGACACGGCCCAGACUCCUACGGGAGGCAGCAGUAGGGAAUCUUCCGCAAUGGACGAAAGUCUGACGGAGCAACGCCGCGUGAGUGAUGAAGGUUUUCGGAUCGUAAAACUCUGUUGUUAGGGAAGAACAAGUACCGUUCGAAUAGGGCGGCACCUUGACGGUACCUAACCAGAAAGCCACGGCUAACUACGUGCCAGCAGCCGCGGUAAUACGUAGGUGGNCNANANGNCGUUGUUCCGGNAAUUAUUGGGNCGUAAAGCGCGCGCAGGCGGUUUCUUAAGUCUGAUGUGAAAGCCCCCGGCUCAACCGGGGAGGGUCAUUGGAAACUGGGGAACUUGAGUGCAGAAGAGGAGAGUGGAAUUCCACGUGUAGCGGUGAAAUGCGUAGAGAUGUGGNAGGAACACCAGUGGCGAAGGNCNNGACUCNUNCUNGGNUCUNGUAACUGACGCUGAGGCGCGAAANGCGUGGGGNAGCGAACAGGNAUUNAGAUACCCUGGUNAGUCCACGCCGNUAAACGAUGAGUGCUAAGUGUUAGAGGGUUUCCNGCCCUUUAGUGCUGCAGCAAACGCAUUAAGCACUNCCGCCUGGGGAGUACGGNUCGCAAGACUGAAACUCAAAGGAANUUGNANCGGGGGCCCNGCACAANGCGGUGGNAGCNAUGNUGGUUUAAUUNCGAANGCAACNGCGNAAGAACCUUACCAGGUCUUGANCAUCCUCUGNACAACCCUAGAGANUAGGGCUUCCCCUUCGGGGGCNAGAGUGNACAGGUGGUGCNAUGGUUGUCGUCNAGCUCGUGUCNGUGAGANUGNUUGGGUUAAGUCCCGCAACGAGCGCAACCCUUGAUCUUAAUUGCCAGCAUUCAAUUNGGGCACUCUAAGGUGACUGCCGGUGACAAACCGGAGGAAGGUGGGGAUGACGUCAAAUCA